RNAcentral lists this ribosomal RNA (919 nucleotides) under uncultured Bacteroidota bacterium. Its description in RNAcentral is "bacterial SSU rRNA". It matches the Rfam family "Bacterial small subunit ribosomal RNA", at positions 476 to 1398 of the family's 1533-position model. The record is from RNAcentral. Lineage: Bacteria; Pseudomonadati; Bacteroidota.
UACUCUACGAAUAAGGACCGGCUAACUCCGUGCCAGCAGCCGCGGUAAUACGGAGGGUCCAAGCGUUAUCCGGAGUCAUUGGGUUUAAAGGGUCCGUAGGCGGGCAAUUAAGUCAGAGGUGAAAUCCCACAGCUCAACUGUGGAACUGCCUUUGAUACUGGUUGUCUUGAAUUAUAGUGAAGUAGAUAGAAUGUGUAGUGUAGCGGUGAAAUGCAUAGAUAUUACACAGAAUACCGAUUGCGAAGGCAGUCUACUAACUAUAUAUUGACGCUGAUGGACGAAAGCGUGGGGAGCGAACAGGAUUAGAUACCCUGGUAGUCCACGCCGUAAACGAUGGAUACUAGUUGUUGGUCUGCUUGCAGAUCAGUGACCAAGCGAAAGUGAUAAGUAUCCCACCCGGGGAGUACGGUUGCAAGAUUGAAACUCAAAGGAAUUGACGGGGGCCCGCACAAGCGGUGGAGCAUGUGGUUUAAUUCGAUGAUACGCGAGGAACCUUACCAGGGCUUAAAUGUAAGUUGCAUAGAGUAGAGAUAUUCUUUUCUUCGGACUACUUACAAGGUGCUGCAUGGUUGUCGUCAGCUCGUGCCGUGAGGUGUCAGGUUAAGUCCUAUAACGAGCGCAACCCCUACCGUUAGUUGCCAGCAUGUAAAGAUGGGGACUCUAGCGGGACUGCCAGUGCAAACUGUGAGGAAGGUGGGGAUGACGUCAAAUCAUCACGGCCCUUACGUCCUGGGCUACACACGUGCUACAAUGGGUAGGACAAUGAGACGCGAUACCGCGAGGUGGAGCAAAUCUAUAAACCUACUCUCAGUUCGGAUUGUAGUCUGCAACUCGACUACAUGAAGCUGGAAUCACUAGUAAUCGUAGAUCAGCUAUGCUACGGUGAAUACGUUCCCGGGUCUUGCACACACCGCCCGUC